Long non-coding RNA from Triticum aestivum (bread wheat), 3014 nucleotides. RefSeq lists it as uncharacterized. The transcript has 3 exons. The record is from RefSeq and is a predicted model, not a curated record. Lineage: Eukaryota; Viridiplantae; Streptophyta; Magnoliopsida; Poales; Poaceae.
AAAAAAAAAAACUCGGCCGCACCCCAGUCCGCAGCCUGCCCCAAAUCACAACCUCAUCCAAAUCGACCUACCCUACUUCCACCCCGGCCACCUCGCCGCCGAGCACCUUCCGCUGUGGCCGACCACCAUUCGCCACCCCAAGCAUCCCACCGCAGUGCCUCCCCGACUAUUGUCGCCAGCCACCCUUCGCCUCUUCGUCCCAAACUAUCUGCACAAGGACGGGAAGGGAGGGAGACCCGAUGGGCGGAGGAGGUCGAAGCCGUUGCCCACACCGCGGAUCUGCCGCGGGGAUGCGGGAAGAAAGGACGCGGUUGCGCGGCCCCCGGAUCCGGCGAAGGACGUGCGCAAGAGGCGGCCAACGGGGCGCGGGGCACAACUCCAGAUCCGGGCGGCCCGAGCAGAGCGUGAAGCUAGGAAGCGGGCAUAUGCUUUGGGUGGCCGCCUUCGGUGCAGCCGGCGGCAACGGCAUGGCUGUAGUUUGGCGCCUAGGUUUGGGUGCCCCAGUGGCACCCUUGCAAGUGACAGGAAGUGAGCGACCAGGAACCAGAAGAUGCCGGCAGUCUGUGAAGAAGUUUUUGAGUGGCUGUCUGCUCGGAGCUACCGGAAGAGCAGCUAGCCAACGCACAAAGACCAAGGCGGAGAAUGAAGCUAGAAGCGAGACAGAAUACCCGAGGAAGGUCGACCUCGAGACUUACUUGAGCCAUUAGAAUAUUUCCCUUGAGUUCGAGAGGAUGUUCAGUUGCUUCAUCACUUAGCAUUAUUGACUAUGCACACUGCCUAUAAGUAGUCCGACCAAUUCAGUGAGCAGCAGCAGGGGCAGGCUGGCAGAACCUCAUCAGCCCCAUUUGCUUUGCAACCAGGAUGGACGCCACCUCAAAAUGAUCUAAUAUUUUUUCAGUCCAUUUUCCAUUUUAUCCUUUUGUAGUUUGUUUAAUUUUGGCUCCCUGAUUGGUCUUCUCCUUGUGUACAGUUUGCUCAAACAGGGAAUCGAGGACAGCAAGGACCAUUGAAGCCCGAGAUGUUUGGAAUUGGACAGUUCAAUCUCUACUUUUCUCCUCCAAUGAUUCAGGUGUUCCCGUUUUUCUAUUGAAAUUUGAAGUAAAAUAUUUUUUUCAUAUAUAUCUAUAUGAAUGAAAUUUAUGCACUAUGUUGUAGUUGAGGUCUUGAUGGGCACCAUUUUUGAAGUUCGCUCUGGACCUCGAAAAAUUCAGGACCGGCCCUGUAUAUAUGUAGUGUUAUUUCCUUUGUUGUUUGUAGAUGCAAGUUACCAAAUAUAGGUUAAUAUCUAGCCUGUAGUAAAUGUGAAGUUAGGAAUGAGAUUUUCCUUAUGCAUUUUCUGGUUUGUGAAGCAGCUUUUGGUAACCUGGUUCAUUUAGUCUAUUGAUGUUCAACUUUUAUACAGUUUCUUCAUUGUAUAAAUUAAAUUGCAUGCUGCCUCUGUAAUAGUAUAAGUACUAUUCCUAGCCUUACUUAUAGAACUUUGUGUAACUAUAGGUAUUUAUUUUCCUCUAAAAUAGAUUUAUAUUUCAAGGAAGCAGAUUCAUAAGUAAAAUCAUAGUAUUAUAGGCAGAACAAGUUCUUGCAAAACAUCAACAUGAAAGAGGUUUGCUGAUGGUUCUAGGACCGAUGCUCUUAGGGACCAUGAGUAUGUCCUUACCGAUGCUCGUUGGCGAUCUUCCUCUGGAAUGAGUUCCUAAUUUUCUUGUGUUGGGAUAUCCAUGCAACUAAACUUAUGAUAUAUUGUGGCAUUCUUCUCUUACAUGCAGUACUUUUGCACACUCUGGUAAUAUCCCUUUUGAUGUUCUUUUUAAUGUAACUUUGGUUAGAAAACUUGGGAGAUCUUGAUAGGAGUGAUGAACUUGAUAGAACUUGUAAUAUGGUAGCGUGGACUUCUACCACGAGUAGUUUACCCUUGUAACUUGCGAGAUCUUGAUAGGAGUGAUGCCCUUCCUUUCCUUUCAAAAUGGAAGAUAUAUUGCCUCCGCCCUAUACAUGGUACAAAACUAAUCAUCAAAUGGCAUGAGAAAUUUUGUUUAUCUGUAUGGUCUUGCAUGAUGCUAUCUUUUGAGGCACAAGCUUUUUCGGACGGAGGGAGUAUAAACAUGCAAUAUAUGCUUGGCAUGCAGUUUUCUGAUGUGUACAAGUUGUUUGACCUUGUAUUUUACUGCUUACUAUGUACUCCCUCCAUCCUAAAAUAAGUGUCUCAAGCUUAGUACAAUUUUGUACUAAAGCUAGUACAAAGUUGAGACAGUUAUUUUGGGGCGGAGGGAGUACUAUACAUCCGGAAUUGUAUUUGGAAGUGUCAAAAUUUAUCAUUUAUAAUCAUUGAUAGUUACAUUGCUAGAUAUACACACACUGAAAGUCUGAAAUAUUCUUGAAAAAGCACAUGUCAGCUGUCAUAUCUUCAUUAGAUGUUUUUAAAUCUUUUCCUGGUUUGAUGUUGAUAUUUUGUUAGUUUGUAGAUGCUGCUAGUUUGUACUUUCAAAAAUUUAAACUUGAUUUUGUUUUCUCUGCAGUACAACAAGUUGUGUCUCAAGCUUGUAAGUUCUGUUACAAGGAUGAGAUUGUUAGAAUGCUACAAAACUUCUACGUGAUAGCAGUUGUACCAGUCAACUAGGAUGUCUACAUGAUGUUUCUUGUAUUCAUGGCAGCAACAAAAUCUUGUGGCGCAAGGUUAAGCUCUGAUCUUCAAAAGCAUUGCAAGCUUGGUGAUUCUUCUGCGGGAGACAUGUGGUCCUGUUUAAAUUAUGCUGUUUCACAUGAUGGUGGCGAGUCUGUUAUUCACAAGACAUCUAAUGAAGUCAUCCAAUAAGAAGGUUCCAAACAAACAAUUUGUCUUCCUAGACAUGGCUGUAGCUGCGUGUCAAGCUCAAACCAAUUGUUUAGCUUAGUUUGAACAAAAGAAAUCUUAUUGUCCAUGUAAAUUCUGUUCAUUGAUGUAGUUGGACGCUACUGAAUGCAUGUAUGAAUGUUGUAGUACUGAAUUUUAAUCAUUAUGUGUUUGAGAUUUUCUA